This 1289-nucleotide long non-coding RNA is filed under the name Lathyrus oleraceus (garden pea). Its description in RNAcentral is "Pisum sativum (pea) long non-coding RNA (PSAT_LNC010160)". The record is from RNAcentral. Lineage: Eukaryota; Viridiplantae; Streptophyta; Magnoliopsida; Fabales; Fabaceae.
UUUUGAAACUUCAAAUAAAAUAAUACCUAAAAUCAUUACAGCAUUGAAAAUUUAUUAUUUCUCCAUUCAUCUACCAUCAUAGCUUUGUUUUAUUUUAUCUAUCACAAUAAUAAAUAAACAAAUCCACCAAAUACAAACAUAGUUGAUGAAAAGAAAAAAACAAAGCAACUAAGAAAUUGGCACUUGUAGAAACUAAAACGCACUUCGACAACUUCAAACACCAAACCAAACACUUCGCAACACUACAAUGUCUUUUCCUUCACUUCCUCCUUAAAAAACCACGCGCGAUUACGUAUAUACCCACGCGCCACCGUUUCUAAGUUUGGUUUAAUAUGGGUUGCGCGGCGUCGAAGCUAGAAAACGAAGACACUGUACGGCGGUGUAAAGACCGUCGCCGUCUCAUGAAAGAAGCCGUUUACGCGCGUCACCAUCUCGCAGCUGCACACUCUGACUACUGUCGUUCACUUCGCCUCACCGGCUCUGCUCUCUCUACAUUCGCCGCCGGUGAGCCUCUCUCUGUCUCCGACAACACCCCCGCCGUAUUCAUCAACCGGCUCUGCUCUCUCUACAUUCGCCGCCGGUGAGCCUCUCUCUGUCUCCGACAACACCCCCGCCGUAUUCAUCAACCAUAAAACAACCACCCCCAUCCCCACCACCGCCACGAAAACGUUCCAACAUCCACCAAAACCACAACCACCGUCGUCACACAUUCCAUCUCCUUCACCGUCUUCCUUCCACCGUCCACCGCCGGGGCAACCGUUUCAACCUUCACCUUCUCCCACCAUAACCUCCUCAAAACUCCCUCAUAUCCUCUCUUCAUCCACUCCCUCCACAAAUCAACACCACAACGCUCGCCGCCGUAAACCACCGCCGCCGAAACUCCCUCACAUUCUCUCCGAUUCAAGCCCUUCUUCUACCCCUCGAAGCAACUUCUCCAACAAUUUCGCUCCCGGUUUCUUCCCUACAGCACACUCUACAUACUCUUCCACCCCUUCUCAAACUUCCUCCGUUUGGAAUUGGGAAAAUUUCUAUCCUCCUCCUCCACCGCCACCGGGCUCCGAUUACUUCGACAGAGAGCAUGAACAUGAACAUGACCAAGAAGAUACUACUUCUCAAUUCUCUUUCAUUUCACGAAAUAGUGAAAUUCCUUAUUCCCGACAACAACAGCAACAACAACAACAAAAACAACAACCUCAACAACCACAAAUACAAACAUAUCAACCACAACAGCAACAACAGCAACAUCGAUAUCCUAAUCCAACAGCACAUGAAGUGGAAGGCUUUGAUUC